AGAGUUUGAUCCUGGCUCAGGAUGAACGCUAGCGGCAGGCUUAACACAUGCAAGUCGAGGGGUAACAGAGAGUGCUUGCACUCUGCUGACGACCGGCGCACGGGUGAGUAACGCGUAUGCAACCUACCUUUUACAGGGGAAUAGCCCAGAGAAAUUUGGAUUAAUACCCCAUAUUAUUUUUAAUUCGCAUGAAUUAGAGAUGAAAGUUUCGACGGUAAAAGAUGGGCAUGCGUCCUAUUAGUUUGUUGGUGAGGUAAUGGCUUACCAAGACUUCGAUAGGUAGGGGCCCUGAGAGGGGGACCCCCCACACUGGUACUGAGACACGGACCAGACUCCUACGGGAGGCAGCAGUGAGGAAUAUUGGACAAUGGAGGAAACUCUGAUCCAGCCAUGCCGCGUGCAGGAUGAAUGCCCUAUGGGUUGUAAACUGCUUUUAUACAGGAAGAAACAUUUCCACGUGUGGAAACUUGACGGUACUGUAAGAAUAAGGAUCGGCUAACUCCGUGCCAGCAGCCGCGGUAAUACGGAGGAUCCAAGCGUUAUCCGGAAUUAUUGGGUUUAAAGGGUCCGUAGGUGGUUAUUUAAGUCAGAGGUGAAAUCCUGCCGCUUAACGGUAGAACUGCCUUUGAUACUGAUUAACUUGAGUUAUUGUGAAGUAGUUAGAAUAUGUAGUGUAGCGGUGAAAUGCAUAGAUAUUACAUAGAAUACCGAUUGCGAAGGCAGAUUACUAACAAUAUACUGACACUGAGGGACGAAAGCGUGGGUAGCGAACAGGAUUAGAUACCCUGGUAGUCCACGCCGUAAACGAU
This 809-nucleotide ribosomal RNA is filed under the name marine metagenome. Its description in RNAcentral is "bacterial SSU rRNA". It matches the Rfam family "Bacterial small subunit ribosomal RNA", at positions 8 to 810 of the family's 1533-position model. The record is from RNAcentral.